GUAUGCAUCAAAUGCCAGAUGACUGGAGCAACACUAGGUUGUUUAAACAAAGGCUGUCCAGAACAAUAUCACUUCAUUUGUGCCACUGACACAGGUUGUGAAAUGGAUGAAAACAACUUUUCACUGUUAUGUCCUAAACACAAGAAAACACCCAAGAUAAGUGAAGAAAGUUAAACUACCAUCGUCGUGCUACUACUUACAAAAGAACUUAUGCACCAUUUUUACAUAUAUAUAUAUGUAAUGUUAACCAUGGUGUUGUGUUUGAUGUGUUGUACACAGACAGGCUUGUCAAGUGGUUACAACAUCUUUGUCUGUAUGAUGUUGUAGUUCUUUCAACUAACUUAGAGCUAAUUAACUCAGUCUUCAAAAAUACUGUGUACAGAUUAAUAUCAGCAAAAUAAAUGCAUGUUUGACUGUAUGA
Molecule: long non-coding RNA, 421 nt
Organism: Limulus polyphemus (Atlantic horseshoe crab)
Lineage: Eukaryota; Metazoa; Arthropoda; Merostomata; Xiphosura; Limulidae
Exons: 3
Source: RefSeq, a predicted model, not a curated record